GCCAUUCCGAUUACAAAGAGACACACGUUCUUAGGACGUUUUUUUUCUCUAGUACAUUCUUAGGAAGACCGGGCUCUGCGUUUUAUGAAAUUGAGAAAAUGAUUUACUAAUUAGAAUGGCUGUGUGAACUUCCCUGCUGGUUCUGGCAUAUUUCUGUAAUUCAUUAUCGUUAAUUCACAUGACUAGAUUACAUGAAACUAGUCAUCAGCUUGUGGUGAGCUUUAUUGCUACAAAAGUUUUGCUUUGACAUUUAACAAGGAGGAGUACAAGACUGAACCAUCCAUGGAUUUCAUUAUUUCGUUCUUUGUUUUCAGGUGACCACUUGUUUAAAAUACAUCUAUUCCAAAAACAUAAA
Hippocampus comes (tiger tail seahorse) is the source of this 355-nucleotide long non-coding RNA. RefSeq lists it as uncharacterized. The transcript has 3 exons. Lineage: Eukaryota; Metazoa; Chordata; Actinopteri; Syngnathiformes; Syngnathidae. The record is from RefSeq and is a predicted model, not a curated record.